GACGAACGCUGGCGGCGUGCUUAACACAUGCAAGUCGAACGGAAAGUCCCUUCUUUUGUGGGGUGCUCGAGUGUCGAACGUGUGAGUCACACGUUAGUAACCUGCCCUUGACUUUGGGAUAACUUCAGUACACUGUGGCUAAUACCGGAUAGGAGCUCCUGCUGCAUGGUGGGGGUUGGAAAGUUUCGGCGGUUGGGGAUGGACUCGCGGCUUAUCAGCUUGUUGGUGGGGUAGUGGCUUACCAAGGCUUUGACGGGUAGCCGGCCUGAGAGGGUGACCGGCAACAAUGGGAGGGAGAUAAGGCCGAGAAGCCUACGGGAGGAAGCAGUGGGGAAGAAUGCACAAUGAGCGGAAGAAGGAUGCAGGAACGACGCGUGGGGGAGGAAGGAGGUCGGGUGGUAAACAGCUUUCGCCUGUGAAGAAGAGAGAGUGACGGUAAUGGGUAAAGAAGCACCGGCUAACUACGUG
RNAcentral lists this ribosomal RNA (468 nucleotides) under uncultured bacterium. Its description in RNAcentral is "partial 16S ribosomal RNA". It matches the Rfam family "Bacterial small subunit ribosomal RNA", at positions 28 to 507 of the family's 1533-position model. The record is from RNAcentral.